This 209-nucleotide unclassified non-coding RNA is filed under the name soil metagenome. RNAcentral describes it as "partial contains 5.8S ribosomal RNA, internal transcribed spacer 2, and large subunit ribosomal RNA". The record is from RNAcentral.
AACGAGGCCGACCUGCGGCUGAGUUACCUGCGGAGGGAUCAUUAUCGUGGAGCUCCGGCUCCUUCGAGGGAGAACCCUUGCCUUUUCGAGCACCUGUUUGUUUCCUCGGCAGGUCCGCCUGCCAAUGGGGACCCCUUUAAACUCUUGCAAUAACCUGUACCAAAUCGUCUGAAUAAAACAAACAAAUCAAAACUUUCAACAACGGAUCU